UAGGGAAUCUUCGGCAAUGGGGGCAACCCUGACCGAGCAACGCCGCGUGAGUGAAGAAGGUUUUCGGAUCGUAAAGCUCUGUUGUAAGAGAAGAACGUGUGUGAGAGUGGAAAGUUCACACAGUGACGGUAACUUACCAGAAAGGGACGGCUAACUACGUGCCAGCAGCCGCGGUAAUACGUAGGUCCCGAGCGUUGUCCGGAUUUAUUGGGCGUAAAGCGAGCGCAGGCGGUUUAAUAAGUCUGAAGUUAAAGGCAGUGGCUUAACCAUUGUUCCAUUUGGAAACUGUUAAACUUGAGUGCAGAAGGGGAGAGUGGAAUUCCAUGUGUAGCGGUGAAAUGCGUAGAUAUAUGGAGGAACACCGGUGGCGAAAGCGGCUCUCUGGUCUGUAACUGACGCUGAGGCUCGAAAGCGUGGGGAGCAAACAGG
This 429-nucleotide ribosomal RNA is filed under the name bacterium. RNAcentral describes it as "partial 16S ribosomal RNA". It matches the Rfam family "Bacterial small subunit ribosomal RNA", at positions 355 to 776 of the family's 1533-position model. The record is from RNAcentral.